RNAcentral lists this long non-coding RNA (788 nucleotides) under Anser brachyrhynchus (Pink-footed goose). RNAcentral's name for it is "lncRNA (ENSABRG00000003305.1)". The record is from RNAcentral. Lineage: Eukaryota; Metazoa; Chordata; Aves; Anseriformes; Anatidae.
AAACACUGUGGAAACAGACAAGCUUGUAUUUGGAAGUGGGAUCACUUUCUCAGUUGAACCAAACAGACAAGAAUAUUCUACACCAGAAGUCAUUGCACUUAAAUCAAGUGAACCCAAACAAUAUAGCAGCAAAUUUAACAUAGCUUGUUUGGCAAGGACAUUCUACCCUAAGAACAUCAGUCUUGAUGGGCCUGAGGGUCACAUUGUAUAUGAUCUGAAGGCACCUCUUGUCACAUCAGAGGGGAUGUACAGUACCUGGAAGGUAAUUGGAGUAACACCAGAUGCAGAGGGGACCUGCAGGGCUGUGCACAAGAGGAAUGAGACUGCAACCAGCACAAUCCUGCCAGAAGAGAAAGCUGAAGAACUGGCGACAAUGAAUGCUUGCAACAUUACGGAUGCCUCUACAAAAGAUGUCAAAAUGGAAAAAAUGAAUAUGCUCUUCAUGGCUGUUUUGUGUUUGAGAGUCCUGCUGGCAAAAAGCAUUGCCUUCAGUACUCUCAUGACUAUCAAGCUAUUCAUCUUUGAGGCUAGACCAGAGAACCUCAGGUUACAUCAAAAAUCUUCUGCUGGCAGCUUCAAGUGGAGAAAGUCUGGAGAAAAGUCCAGACAAGUGAGGACUACAAAGGGAGAAUCCCCAAAUCCAACAAAUUUGAAAAAGGGGAAGGAAAAAAGUACAGGGUAAGCGAGCCAGCGAUGGGCUGAAGAGUGGGAGAAAACAUGUAACAGUGUAAUUUAAACACUGUGGCUCAGCUUUGCUGCCAAUAAACAUCUAAGGAACCAAAGAAGCA